This is a long non-coding RNA of Syngnathus acus (greater pipefish), 716 nucleotides long. RefSeq lists it as uncharacterized. The transcript has 3 exons. The record is from RefSeq and is a predicted model, not a curated record. Lineage: Eukaryota; Metazoa; Chordata; Actinopteri; Syngnathiformes; Syngnathidae.
UCGUCGUCGUGCUGCUGCUGUCUGGACGGGCUGCGCCCCACCGUCACCACGUCGAUCUCCUCCUCUGCCAGACAACAAAAGGUUUGCGAGAGCUGGAGGAGCUACAAAGGCACGACGAAGCAACAGACAACUCCCAGCCCAAUGAGAAAGGCUGACUUGAGCUCAUCGGCCCAAUCCGACGACGCACAUGCGAGCGGCAUGUGAAGCCGCGGACGACACAGGACACCGUCCCAGAACAACCGCAGCCGGAUUCUGAGAACUUGAGGAACGAUCAAGGGGAGUAGGCGGGCUGGAGUGGGAGAGCCAGGGGUGACGUUGGGCUCGAGGUGCCCGGACCGGUUCCCAGUCAAUGGCAGGGGACAAGACCAGUCAAUCCCGCCUGAGGCACGUAGAGACCUCCGGGGCGCAGCGCGAGUCCUAAAUGGCAAGCUCCUAGUGCAUGAAACGUGAAACCGUGAUGAUGAAAUCGGGACCUUCCUUCGCUCAUGCCGACGCGGCUGACGUGGCGUCCGCUCGGCACGUGACGGACGAGGUCAUUUGGCGCCUCCUCCGCGUUUCCCAGCCUCGAACCCAACACGAGCGUGAAAUGGAAGUGUGCGCCUUCUUCCUGGUCAUGGAGGGAUGCGUAGUAAAACUGCAGAUGUUUGACGGUGGGCGGGCCAACAUCUGCAGCUCCGCUCCGGACGGCAUGUGCGGUGUUCAACGUCACACGCCGG